This 253-nucleotide ribosomal RNA is filed under the name uncultured bacterium. Its description in RNAcentral is "partial 16S ribosomal RNA". It matches the Rfam family "Bacterial small subunit ribosomal RNA", at positions 524 to 776 of the family's 1533-position model. The record is from RNAcentral.
UACGUAGGUGGCAAGCGUUGUCCGGAUUGACUGGGCGUAAAGCGCACGCAGGCGGUUGCGCGCGUGGGGUGUGAAAUCUGGCCGCUUAACGGCCAGGCGCCAUCCCAUACGGCACAACUGGAGGGCUGCAGAGGUCGAUGGAAUUGCCGGUGUAGUGGUGAAAUGCGUAGAGAUCGGCAGGAACACCCAGGGGGAAACCAGUCGACUGGGCAGCACCUGACGCUGAGGUGCGAGAGCGUGGGGAGCGAACCGG